This 386-nucleotide ribosomal RNA is filed under the name Gephyrocapsa sp. RNAcentral's name for it is "partial small subunit ribosomal RNA". It matches the Rfam family "Eukaryotic small subunit ribosomal RNA", at positions 582 to 975 of the family's 1831-position model. The record is from RNAcentral. Lineage: Eukaryota; Haptophyta; Isochrysidales; Noelaerhabdaceae.
AUUCCAGCUCCAAUAGCGUAUAUUAAAGUUGUUGCAGUUAAAACGCUCGUAGUCGGAUUUCGGGGCGGGCCGACCGGUCUGCCGAUGGGUAUGCACUGGCCGGCGCGUCCUUCCACCCGGAGACCGCGCCUACUCUUAACUGAGCGGGCGCGGGAGACGGGUCUUUUACUUUGAAAAAAUCAGAGUGUUUCAAGCAGGCAGUCGCUCUUGCAUGGAUUAGCAUGGGAUAAUGAAAUAGGACUAUAGCCUCGUCGUUGGUUACGUGGACUGCAGUAAUGAUCAAUAGGGAUAGUUGGGGGCAUUAGUAUUUAUUAGCUAGAGGUGGAAUUCUCUAAUUUGAUAAAGACUAACUUAUGCGAAAGCAUUUGCCAAGGAUGUUUUCAUCG